Vicia faba (fava bean) is the source of this 267-nucleotide non-coding RNA. The record is from the annotation of a GenBank genome assembly. NCBI's taxonomy places the organism in Eukaryota, Viridiplantae, Streptophyta, Magnoliopsida, Fabales, Fabaceae.
AUGUCUCAACGAAUCGGAGCAAGACUAUUUGUUAGCAGACUAUCAUUUUACAUUACCAACGACCAGUUCGUGAAAUUGUUCUCGCCAUUCGGAGCACUUAAAGAAGCUUCGCUUGUGAUAGACCCAAAAACCAAAAGACCUAAAGGUUUUGGUUUUGUCUCGUAUGAGUCUGAAAUUGAAGCAGAAAAAGCUAUGAAAGCGUUAAAUGGAAGGAUAGUUGAUGGAAGGCUAAUUUUCGUUGAACCUGCAAAAUGGAAGGAAUCUUGA